Molecule: ribosomal RNA, 1634 nt
Filed under: Salmonella enterica subsp. enterica serovar Anatum
Lineage: Bacteria; Pseudomonadati; Pseudomonadota; Gammaproteobacteria; Enterobacterales; Enterobacteriaceae
Description: partial 23S ribosomal RNA
Rfam family: Bacterial large subunit ribosomal RNA
Source: RNAcentral
GGGUUGUGAGGUUAAGCGACUAAGCGUACACGGUGGAUGCCCUGGCAGUCAGAGGCGAUGAAGGGCGUGCUAAUCUGCGAUAAGCGCCGGUAAGGUGAUAUGAACCGUUAUAACCGGCGAUACCCGAAUGGGGAAACCCAGUGUGACUCGUCACACUAUCAUUAACUGAAUCCAUAGGUUAAUGAGGCGAACCGGGGGAACUGAAACAUCUAAGUACCCCGAGGAAAAGAAAUCAACCGAGAUUCCCCCAGUAGCGGCGAGCGAACGGGGAGGAGCCCAGAGCCUGAAUCAGCAUGUGUGUUAGUGGAAGCGUCUGGAAAGGCGCGCGAUACAGGGUGACAGCCCCGUACACAAAAGCGCAUGUGCUGUGAGCUCGAUGAGUAGGGCGGGACACGUGGUAUCCUGUCUGAAUAUGGGGGGACCAUCCUCCAAGGCUAAAUACUCCUGACUGACCGAUAGUGAACCAGUACCGUGAGGGAAAGGCGAAAAGAACCCCGGCGAGGGGAGUGAAAAAGAACCUGAAACCGUGUACGUACAAGCAGUGGGAGCCCCACCACCAAAGCAUUCUCUGGUGUUGAAGGCCCUGCAAAGCAGCAUCGCGGUGGCGGAGCGUCGUUUGCGACGCCCAACACACAAAACAAGCGGUGAGUGCUUUGGGGUGGGGUGACUGCGUACCUUUUGUAUAAUGGGUCAGCGACUUAUAUUCUGUAGCAAGGUUAACCGUAUAGGGGAGCCGUAGGGAAACCGAGUCUUAACCGGGCGUUAAGUUGCAGGGUAUAGACCCGAAACCCGGUGAUCUAGCCAUGGGCAGGUUGAAGGUUGGGUAACACUAACUGGAGGACCGAACCGACUAAUGUUGAAAAAUUAGCGGAUGACUUGUGGCUGGGGGUGAAAGGCCAAUCAAACCGGGAGAUAGCUGGUUCUCCCCGAAAGCUAUUUAGGUAGCGCCUCGUGAAUUCAUCUUCGGGGGUAGAGCACUGUUUCGGCUAGGGGGUCAUCCCGACUUACCAACCCGAUGCAAACUGCGAAUACCGGAGAAUGUUAUCACGGGAGACACACGGCGGGUGCUAACGUCCGUCGUGAAGAGGGAAACAACCCAGACCGCCAGCUAAGGUCCCAAAGUCAUGGUUAAGUGGGAAACGAUGUGGGAAGGCCCAGACAGCCAGGAUGUUGGCUUAGAAGCAGCCAUCAUUUAAAGAAAGCGUAAUAGCUCACUGGUCGAGUCGGCCUGCGCGGAAGAUGUAACGGGGCUAAACCAUGCACCGAAGCUGCGGCAGCGACACUGUGUGUUGUUGGGUAGGGGAGCGUUCUGUAAGCCUGCGAAGGUGGCCUGUGAGGGUUGCUGGAGGUAUCAGAAGUGCGAAUGCUGACAUAAGUAACGAUAAAGCGGGUGAAAAGCCCGCUCGCCGGAAGACCAAGGGUUCCUGUCCAACGUUAAUCGGGGCAGGGUGAGUCGACCCCUAAGGCGAGGCCGAAAGGCGUAGUCGAUGGGAAACAGGUUAAUAUUCCUGUACUUGGUGUUACUGCGAAGGGGGGACGGAGAAGGCUAUGUUGGCCGGGCGACGGUUGUCCCGGUUUAAGCGUGUAGGUGUGUGUUCCAGGUAAAUCCGGUUCACUUUAACACUGAGGCGUGA